Glycine soja is the source of this 3547-nucleotide long non-coding RNA. RefSeq lists it as uncharacterized. Lineage: Eukaryota; Viridiplantae; Streptophyta; Magnoliopsida; Fabales; Fabaceae. The record is from RefSeq and is a predicted model, not a curated record. The transcript is spliced from 4 exons.
GUUUUUGUUUUUUUACACAUAAUUGAUUGGUCACUCCGCCAAAAAUUAGAUGUUUUUAUUUUUAUACUAUUUUUGAUAAAUCAUUUAGAUGUUUUUAUUAGGCUAUACUUAAAUACAUCAUUUAUGUCUGUAAUUAACUAUUGCCGAUUUUAAUUACUCAUAACUAAGUAGCUAUUACUGAUAUGGUUAUUAAUUUUGAUCGGAGAGAGAAUCAUAGCAUAUCGGCUAUGUUAGUUAAUCUAACUUUGUAUGUAUUUUAUUUUUAGUGUAAGGUUUGUGGGUUUUGUUAAGGAAUAUGAAUGUUUAUAUCCGUAAUUAGUGUCGAUUUUGAUUAUUCAGACCUAAGUAGCUAUUAAUGAUGGCCAAAUGAUCUUUUGGGGGCAAUUUUUUUUUUCAAAUUUAUCACUUGGGAUAAAAUUUAAAUUAAUAGCCGGGAUAAAUUUGAAAAAAAAUUGCUGGCAAAUGGUCGUUUGUCCAUUAUUGAUACAAAAAAUUAAUUUUGAUCGGAGAAAUGAUCAAAUUGUGAAUCUCGUAAUCUUUAUCUUCUCUCAAUCUCAAUCUCCUAAUCUUUUUCUUCUCUCAAUCUCAAUCGCUUAAACACCGUUGAAUAAUCAUGUCUAGUUCUUCUCAAUCUCGUUUUGCCACUCGGAUACUGUUGGGUUCUCCACAAUCUCGUUCUCUCUUGCGAGCAUUGUUUGAUUCUCCCAAAACAGUUGGCGUUAAGGUUCGUGAAAUAACACAUCCUGGUGUCAAAGUGUCCAGGUUUGUGUUAGAAUUUUCCAACCUGCCGGAAGAAGAAUCGGAUCGACGGAAAAGACUACUGAAUAUUCUAUCGACAAAGUUGAGAGGCGGUGCUAGAACAAAUGCAGAUACUCAGGAACACCCCGAGUGCCAAGGAGAUAGAUAUAGUCACAAGCGAGUGCGUACUUUGAUGUCCAUGAGGUGAUUUUUUUAUCCUCAUAAAUAUGAAAAUGUUCAGAGGAACGAAUUCCCAAUACUUUCAUAUUUAUGGGGAUGAAAAACACAUAUUUUACCUUCUUUUUUUUGCAGGGUUGGGUUUGGACAAUGAUCAAGAAGCCGGUUUGUUUGUAUCUUCUACUUGAUGGUCCAUGAUAUGAUAUAUGUUCAUGCAUGCUUUGUAGUAUUGUAGGUAGGGGAAUUGAUUUCUGUUGUUCACUUGCUAGUAUUUUGCUUCUAACAGAGACCACUGGGAGCAGAGGGAUUUUGAGUCAUAUGGUCCAAUCAAACAGGUAGGUAGUUUUGAAAUAUCGCCAAUGGGAUUUUGUAAGUGUUUCAUUUGUAUUAGUUUUCUUUUGAAAAUUUGAAUGCUCUUUCAACCUUGUAUGAUAUAUGUAGUUAGCUGUAUUUGUUUUUGCAUAAAGAUGGUACUUGUCUUUCUCAUGAUUCAUGAUGGAAAUAACUAGUUUGAUUUUUGUUGGCUUCUUUUUGUUUUGUUUUUCACAUGUUUAUGGAGUUUCAACAGAAUCCAUGCAGUUAUCACAUGACACAAGAGGGAACAGUUUGCCAACCGUACUGCUUCUAAUGCAAAGGCACUUGUACACACUUUGAGGGUUUCAGGCAGAGGAGAUCUUCAGAAUUAUUGCACACAAUUGUCUAGAGGAGUGUUAGGGAUGAAUUAAAUAGGGGAUUUGGUCCCAGAAGAUAUUGAUGUACAUUGUUUGGCAGUACUAAUUAAGGUGGUCGUAUAUAUCUGGUGCAUUGGAUCCCCUUCCAGGCUGGUUCUCUGAUUCAAGGAGAUUCAGGCAUGUUCCCUCAAUCGCAAGGUGACAUAUGAACCAGAUCUAUGAACAAAGAUCUAUGGCACCUAUUCCUUUGCACACAGCUCUCCAACCUUCAAAGGAAAGCUAUCACAGAGUGAAAACUAUUUGUCUUCUCAAUCCCCCAUUGAUCAAGAACCACAGUUUAACAGUGGGAACUUCAUGGCUCUCUUUAACCAUCAACCACUUGGUACACCUUGUGAUGUUGUAGGUAGCUUACUUGGUCAAGGAGUAAAUGCUUCACAGAAUGCUGUUUCUCCACCGUCCAAGGACAUGUUGGAGACAAAAUUGUCCUGAAUGCUUUCUGGCCAAUAAUGCUGCUGAAUUUAAUUAUUUAUCACAAUUCUUAUGUAUUAUAAUGUUGAACAGGUGAAUUCAUACCUAAUUGUACGGGAUUUUCUGCAAUAAGAACUGGAGGUGAAGACUUUGGGCAAGCCAUGCCAUGGUUGUUGCUGGCAACCCAUUCCUCAGGAGCUGCAAAUGCCUUGUAAAUGUGGAUAUUAUGCACUAUUUUGGGAUAGACUCCAAGGCUGUUGAGUUGCUUGUUAAGAAUUCUUCUCAUUUGAGGAGAAUGAAGGUUGAGGGGAGCAAGCUCUGGUGCUGCAAAAAUUUGGGCGUCAAGUAAUUGGCUUGGUGAAAGGUGAAAGAAGCAAGUGUAUAUUUCUCAAGUUUUGAAUAAACAGGUAUACUUAAAACUCCUGAUCAAUGUAUAUUUCACAAGUGUAGGGUUUUUUGGGUGGGAGAUACUUGGAUGUGGGAUUUCAAGUGGAGAAGGAGAUGGUUCGAAUGGGAGACAUUUUUGGUUACAACCAUAAAUCACAUGUUAGCAAAUGUUAGAAUUCAGAAACAGGGUCGUGAUAGUUGGUGGUGGCUUGAUGACAACACUGGAAUAUACUCAGUAAAAUAUGGGUAUAGGGUCUUGCAUAAUUUACUUAUGGGAAGUCAACCAACAGAGGCGUUUUCAAUGAUUUGGAAAUUGAAGGUCCCGAAGAAAGUUAUAUGCCUUGUGUGGAGAGAGUAUUCUUGGAUUGAUUGCCAACUAAGGACAAUCUAAGGAAUAGGAACAUUAUGGAUGCUUCACAGGAUGUGUUUUGCGCUUUUUGCGGACAAUUUGAGGAAACAACCCCGAUUGAACCAUUUUGGCAGCAUUUACAUAAAGUUUUGAAAAAAGAAGCAGAAAUGUGGGUGGUAGUUUGGUGCACAGUUAUAUGGUACGUUUGGUGGGUAAGAAAUAAAUGUGGUUUCACGGAAUCUGUUUUUGACAGGAAGCUGGUUAUGCAGAAUAUUCAUGCGUAUCAAGUUUCAACUUUUCUUUUGCUCAAUGGAUGUCUAACCUGGCUUUGUGUAUGUCUACUUCAUGGGAUGGAUAAUGAAAAUCUAAGAUGAAUAGCUGCUGGAGGGGGAUAAUCGUGUAAAGUCAUACUCUUUCCAUAUCAUAUUAAAGCUUCAACCUUUUUUGGGUUCUGUGAUUUGGAUCAUCAGGUUCAGGAAGAUUGGAGUAAAUUCUGGCACUCAUGUGGCUUCUAGGAUACGUGGCAGUCUUGGCUUUAUCGUAGACUUCUGAUCAUUGUAUUUAUGUAUUCACGUUUCUGUAAGUUAUGUUUGGAAUAUCAAAUAUGUAAAAUAAGGAUUCUAAUCUUACUUUGUGGGAUCAACCAAAUAAAGCAAUAUUUAUGUUUAUCUAGAAACUUGAUGGAAGUUGCAAGAAGCAAAGCAAGUGUUAUGUUAAUUUCUGAUAUUUCAAAUAAACAGGCAUACCUCACAAUUCA